AGUUCGGAUUGUAGUCUGCAACUCGACUACAUGAAGCUGGAAUCGCUAGUAAUCGCAGAUCAGAAUGCUGCGGUGAAUACGUUCCCGGGUCUUGUACACACCGCCCGUCACACCAUGGGAGUCGGAAAUGCCCGAAGCCGGUGACCAAACCAAUAAGGAAGGAGCCGUCGAAGGCAGGUCUGAUAACUGGGUGAAGUCGUAACAAGGUACC
RNAcentral lists this ribosomal RNA (211 nucleotides) under uncultured bacterium. RNAcentral's name for it is "partial 16S ribosomal RNA". It matches the Rfam family "Bacterial small subunit ribosomal RNA", at positions 1290 to 1500 of the family's 1533-position model. The record is from RNAcentral.